AUCGACUCCGACAUUGGCUUCAGUUUAUCUAUAAGACACUCCUGGGCAAGACCCCGUCUUACCUUUCCUCCCUUCUCCAUCUCUCUAGAAGCACAAGAUCAUCUGAGCUUAUCAAACUCAUCAACCCACUCACCAGGACUACCUUCGGCCGAAACUCCGGAAGGAAGGAUCACUAGGAGGGGGGAGAAGGGUCCAGCUGCAGGCUUGGGCGUUCCCGUCAUGACACAAAAACGCCCAUCGGGCGUUCCCGUCAUGACACAAAAACGCCCAUCAGGCGUUCCUGUAGCGUUUCAUCGAUCAAUCAAGAAGAGUACCCUGGCACAUGCUUUGUCCAAUGGACCAUGGAAGGGACUUUACUUGGCUGACGAGGUAAAACGUGUGGCUGGCGCACGAUUCAUUGCAUCUCGUAGAGUAGCAUUCACUGGUAGACAGGCAGGCCUCUAGAUUGUUUAUUAUGAUUUAAUGAAGUGUUCCUAUGUGACGCUGAUGGGCCCUGGUUGCUGCUAAAUGCUUGUUGAAAGUGCAUUGUGCACUUUUUGUAUGUAGCAACAAAAUGAGGGUGGAUAUCACUUUAUAGUUUAUAGGCAUUAUAUACUAAUAAGAAUCAUUGACAAAUCACAUUCCCCUUUUACCACCACAGGACGCACCUCACCAGUAUCAGAGCAACAGCUGUGGGGUGUUUAUGCUGAUGGUGAGAUGCAUUAUUUUCAGAAAUGAUGACUGAUGACUAGUUUGUAAAACAACUAACUCAUUUGUAUGUUAAUUUCAGUACGCAAUGUAUUCUACCCUCAAAAGCAAUAUGAUUUCAGUGAGGUGAGUUCUUUCAAAUCUCAAUCAGAUGUGUAGCAUGAAAUAUAAGGCUUUUAAUAAUUUAGUCAUCCUUACUGGAGGCUACAAUUAACAUGCAUCAUAGGUCAUACACAUUACUUUGUCUUCAGGUACUGCACUUACGGGAGGAGAUGGCUACAUCUUCACAAUAAUUUACACUGCCAUAGUACACUGCUAAACAGUACUGUAACAUGGAUUUGUAUUAGGCUAUGAAGUCAUUUAAAGCAUAACUUUACUUUUCAGGGGGACAUGCUCUCUAUCAGGAGGUGGUGGUUGGACAGCUGUUGGAGACCUUUAUGCUUGAAAGCCCUGCAGAACUAGCUGGCUCCUUCUCACCCUCUCCAUCUCCCCAUCUCAGUCACACCUUCCAAUCACUAAGCAGUGAAAGCCCUGCAGGACUAGCUGGCACACCAAGCUCACCCUCUCCAUCUCCCCAUCUCAGCCACACGCUCCAAUCUGGCACAACAGAGGACAGGCCAUUCUUACCACCCGAAGUCCUUCAGCAAAUUGUACAAGAGACGCUGAGACUGGACAUGGCGAUGCUUGGCGUGUUCAACAGGGUUUCAAACACAUUCCGAGAACUAAUCAAGCCUCUCCAUCCUUCCAUAUAUAUAAAUGACAGUUUGACAGGGGACAUUAAGCUUAAUAAAAACAAUCUCAUAUACAUAAUGGUUAGAAAGAUUUACAACAAUGCAGGCUGUGGCAGUGGCCUUGCGCUACGUCUCAAAGGCUUCUCAAAAAAGAAGAAUUGGCCAAGCGCACCCCUGGUACUGAGGAACGUUGCAUAUGGCAGGUUUGUCAUAAAAGAUGUCUGCCUAGCAUAAUGUUCUUUUAUUACUCCUUUUUCAUUUUAUUUGGGACGUCUUUUUUGCAAUCCCUUCCAUUUGUAAAUGUACAUACUACUGUAGUAGAUGUAUCUGCCCAGAAAUGCUGGUAUUUUAUUACAAAUGCUAUACGAUGUAUAACAUACAUUUG
Molecule: long non-coding RNA, 1803 nt
Organism: Gadus morhua (Atlantic cod)
Lineage: Eukaryota; Metazoa; Chordata; Actinopteri; Gadiformes; Gadidae
Source: Ensembl